GCCCGGAUAGCUCAGUUGGAAGAGCAUCAGACUUUUAAUCUGAGGGUCAAGGGUUCAAGUCCCUGUUCGGGCA
This 73-nucleotide transfer RNA is filed under the name Danio rerio (zebrafish). RNAcentral's name for it is "tRNA-Lys (TTT) (tRNA-Lys-TTT-155-1)". It matches the Rfam family "tRNA". Rfam says of the family: Transfer RNA (tRNA) molecules are approximately 80 nucleotides in length. Their secondary structure includes four short double-helical elements and three loops (D, anti-codon, and T loops). The record is from Rfam by way of RNAcentral. Lineage: Eukaryota; Metazoa; Chordata; Actinopteri; Cypriniformes; Danionidae.